RNAcentral lists this ribosomal RNA (1214 nucleotides) under uncultured fungus. RNAcentral describes it as "eukaryotic LSU rRNA". The stretch from base 582 to 1214 matches the Rfam family "Eukaryotic large subunit ribosomal RNA", at positions 1 to 649 of the family's 3401-position model. Lineage: Eukaryota; Fungi. The record is from RNAcentral.
AAGUCGUAACAAGGUUUCCGUAGGUGAACCUGCGGAAGGAUCAUUAAUCGAACCAACAUGUUUCUCAGCAUGAUAUUUCAAACCCCACCUGUGUACCUUACCUGUUGCUUCCGUGCUGCGCAUGCUGCAAACGUGUGCCUUGCGGUCCGGAGUACCUAUUGCUCCUAUGGCCCGUGGGAGCCGGCACGGGAGGUAACCCACAAACUCUUGCCCUUGAAUGCCUUCCGUCUGAACUGUAGUACAUGAAAAGUUAAAACUUUCAACAACGGAUCUCUUGGUUCUCGCAUCGAUGAAGAACGCAGCGAAAUGCGAUAAGUAGUGUGAAUUGCAGAAUUCCGUGAAUCAUCGAAUCUUUGAACGCACAUUGCGCCUCCUGGUAAUCCGUGAGGCAUGCCUGUUCGAGCGUCACUAAAAUCAAAUCAACCACCACCCAUGUGUUUGGUCAUGGAGGAAGAGUCCGUCUUGUUGCGGUCUCCCCUCCCAAAAUCAACGGCGGAAAGUCGCUGGCACUCGGCGUAGGAGUAUUAUUCGCCGAUUACCCAGUGUCGUUCCUGCCACCAAAUGCCCACGAUUCUCUUGAUUGACCUCGGAUCAGGUAGGGAUACCCGCUGAACUUAAGCAUAUCAAUAAGCGGAGGAAAAGAAACCAACAGGGAUUGCCCUAGUAACGGCGAGUGAAGCGGCAACAGCUCAAAUUUGAAAUCUGGCGUCUUUGGCGUCCGAGUUGUAAUUUGCAGAGGGCGCUUUGGCAUUGGCAGCGGUCCAAGUUCCUUGGAACAGGACGUCACAGAGGGUGAGAAUCCCGUACGUGGUCGCUAGCCUUUACCGUGUAAAGCCCCUUCGACGAGUCGAGUUGUUUGGGAAUGCAGCUCUAAAUGGGAGGUAAAUUUCUUCUAAAGCUAAAUACUGGCCAGAGACCGAUAGCGCACAAGUAGAGUGAUCGAAAGAUGAAAAGCACUUUGGAAAGAGAGUUAAAAAGCACGUGAAGUUGUUGAAAGGGAAGCGCUUGCAGCCAGACUUGCCUGUAGUUGCUCAUCUAGGUUUCUACCUAGUGCACUCUUCUAUGGGCAGGCCAGCAUCAGUUUGGGCGGUUGGAUAAAGGUCUCUGUCAUGUACCUCUCUUCGGGGAGAACUUAUAGGGGAGACGACAUGCAACCAGCCUGGACUGAGGUCCGCGCAUCUGCUAGGAUGCUGGCGUAAUGGCUGUAAGCGGCC